AGGUUAGUGCAAUGGCAUAAGCCAGCUUGACUGCGAGCGUGACGGCGCGAGCAGGUGCGAAAGCAGGUCAUAGUGAUCCGGUGGUUCUGAAUGGAAGGGCCAUCGCUCAACGGAUAAAAGGUACUCCGGGGAUAACAGGCUGAUACCGCCCAAGAGUUCAUAUCGACGGCGGUGUUUGGCACCUCGAUGUCGGCUCAUCACAUCCUGGGGCUGAAGUAGGUCCCAAGGGUAUGGCUGUUCGCCAUUUAAAGUGGUACGCGAGCUGGGUUUAGAACGUCGUGAGACAGUUCGGUCCCUAUCUGCCGUGGGCGCUGGAGAACUGAGGGGGGCUGCUCCUAGUACGAGAGGACCGGAGUGGACGCAUCACUGGUGUUCGGGUUGUCAUGCCAAUGGCACUGCCCGGUAGCUAAAUGCGGAAGAGAUAAGUGCUGAAAGCAUCUAAGCACGAAACUUGCCCCGAGAUGAGUUCUCCCUGAGACUUAGAGUCUCCUGAAGGAACGUUGAAGACGACGACGUUGAUAGGCCGGGUGUGUAAGCGCAGCGAUGCGUUGAGCUAACCGGUACUAAUGAACCGUGAGGCUUAACCUU
RNAcentral lists this ribosomal RNA (588 nucleotides) under Salmonella enterica. RNAcentral describes it as "partial 23S ribosomal RNA". It matches the Rfam family "Bacterial large subunit ribosomal RNA", at positions 2343 to 2925 of the family's 2925-position model. Lineage: Bacteria; Pseudomonadati; Pseudomonadota; Gammaproteobacteria; Enterobacterales; Enterobacteriaceae. The record is from RNAcentral.